AGAACGAACGCUGGCGGCAUGCCUAACACAUGCAAGUCGAACGAGACCUUCGGGUCUAGUGGCGCACGGGUGCGUAACGCGUGGGAAUCUGCCCUUGGGUUCGGGAUAACAGUUGGAAACGACUGCUAAUACCGGAUGAUGACUUCGGUCCAAAGAUUUAUCGCCCAGGGAUGAGCCCGCGUAGGAUUAGCUAGUUGGUGAGGUAAAGGCUCACCAAGGCGACGAUCCUUAGCUGGUCUGAGAGGAUGAUCAGCCACACUGGGACUGAGACACGGCCCAGACUCCUACGGGAGGCAGCAGUGGGGAAUAUGGACAAUGGGCGAAAGCCUGAUCCAGCAAUGCCGCGUGAGUGAUGAAGGCCUUAGGUGUAAAGCUCGUUUACCCGGGAUGAUAAUGACAGUACCGGAGAAGUAACGCCCCGGACUAACUCCGUGCCAGCAGCCGAC
RNAcentral lists this ribosomal RNA (446 nucleotides) under uncultured soil bacterium. RNAcentral describes it as "bacterial SSU rRNA". It matches the Rfam family "Bacterial small subunit ribosomal RNA", at positions 26 to 518 of the family's 1533-position model. The record is from RNAcentral.